AAUAAACUUUGGUUUAUGCCGAAGACAGCAGGAGCAGAACUUGCUUAAAUAUCCUGCCGAGGUUGAAGCCUGAAGCCAUAAAACCCAGAAAAAUAGUAGGUUUUGCCAACUAUUUUUGUGAUGGGAUUCGACUUCAGCCCCGGCAAAAAAGCUAGGGGUUUAUUUUUUUCCCA
Cyanothece sp. is the source of this 173-nucleotide non-coding RNA. The record is from Rfam. NCBI's taxonomy places the organism in Bacteria, Bacillati, Cyanobacteriota, Cyanophyceae, Gomontiellales, Cyanothecaceae.